Molecule: ribosomal RNA, 518 nt
Filed under: uncultured bacterium
Lineage: Bacteria
Description: bacterial SSU rRNA
Rfam family: Bacterial small subunit ribosomal RNA
Source: RNAcentral
UGAGUAACGCGUAUCCAACCUUCCGUACACUCAGGGAUAGCCUUUCGAAAGAAAGAUUAAUACCUGAUGGUAUCUUAAGCACACAUGUAAUUAAGAUUAAAGAUUUAUCGGUGUACGAUGGGGAUGCGUUCCAUUAGGUAGUAGGCGGGGUAACGGCCCACCUAGCCAACGAUGGAUAGGGGUUCUGAGAGGAAGGUCCCCCACAUUGGAACUGAGACACGGUCCAAACUCCUACGGGAGGCAGCAGUGAGGAAUAUUGGUCAAUGGACGAGAGUCUGAACCAGCCAAGUAGCGUGAAGGAUGAAGGUCCUACGGAUUGUAAACUUCUUUUAUAAGGGAAUAAAACCUCCCACGUGUGGGAGCUUGUAUGUACCUUAUGAAUAAGCAUCGGCUAACUCCGUGCCAGCAGCCGCGGUAAUACGGAGGAUGCGAGCGUUAUCCGGAUUUAUUGGGUUUAAAGGGAGCGCAGACGGGUCGUUAAGUCAGCUGUGAAAGUUUGGGGCUCAACCUUAAAAUUG